RNAcentral lists this ribosomal RNA (497 nucleotides) under uncultured bacterium. RNAcentral describes it as "partial 16S ribosomal RNA". It matches the Rfam family "Bacterial small subunit ribosomal RNA", at positions 28 to 507 of the family's 1533-position model. The record is from RNAcentral.
GAUGAACGCUGGCGGCGUGCCUAAUACAUGCAAGUCGAGCGAACAGACGAGGAUCUUGCUCCUCUCACGUUUGCGGCGCACGGGUGAGUCACACGUGGAUACCCUACCUAUAAGACUGGUAUAACUUCGGGAAUCCGGAGCUAAUACCGUAUAAUAUAUUGAACCGCAUGGUUCAAUAGUAAAUGUCGGUUUUUCUGUCUCUUCUCGAUGGUUCUGCGCCUCUUGAGAUAGUUGGUACGGUAACAGCUUACCAAGGCAACGAUGCGUAGCCGACCGGCGAGAGUGAUCGGCGACAUGAGAAGUGAGACGGGGUCCAUGCUCCUGCGGGACGCAGCAGUAGGGAAUCUGCCGCAGUAGUCGAAAGCCUUGCGGAGCAACGCCACGUGAGUGAUGAAGGUCUUCGGAGCGUAAAGCUCUGUUACUAGGGAAGAACCAAUGUGUAAGUAACUAUGCACGUCUUGACGGUACCGAAUCAGAAAGCCACGGCUAACUACGUG